RNA transcript from Bactrocera neohumeralis, 1500 nucleotides. It is a transcript of the gene named vesicle transport protein GOT1B, with no coding region annotated. NCBI's taxonomy places the organism in Eukaryota, Metazoa, Arthropoda, Insecta, Diptera, Tephritidae. The record is from RefSeq and is a predicted model, not a curated record. The transcript has 6 exons.
GCUGUUCGAACAACCAAAAAGAAAAAUCGGUUUACGUGGAAGAGAUCAAAUAAUUCUAGUAAAUAAUAACUCAAUACACUAAUUAUUGUUACUUUAGAUUGUUAAAAAUAUAUUAUAUAUAAAUUGUGCACAAGAAGUAUCAUGAUUGAAGUAACCGAUUUACAAAAAAUCGGCAUAGGCCUGGCUGGUUUUGGUGUCUCCUUUCUAUUUUUGGGUGUGCUAUUUCUUUUUGAUAAAGGAUUAUUAGCAAUCGGCAAUUUACUUUUCCUAAGCGGUCUUGCCUGCGUAAUUGGGGUCCAGCGUACAUUCCGGUUUUUCUUUCAAAGGCAUAAAGUUAAAGGAACUACAGCCUUUUUUGGCGGAAUUUUUGUAGUACUACUUGGUUUUCCUAUGAUUGGUAUGGUUAUUGAACUGUAUGGAUUCUUUGUGUUAUUCAGCGGAUUCUUCCCAGUGGCAAUCAAUUUCUUGGGACGAGUGCCUGUGUUAGGUUCUGUUCUGAAUGCUCCAUUUAUCCAAAAGCUUGUACAAAAACUUGGUGGUGAUGGUAAUCGAACGACGGUAUAGUAGAACUCCAAACAGAUUUUCAACUAAGGAUAAUUUUAAUAUACUAGUUUAUUUCUCCGAUGGCUUAAAUGUAAAGAGCUAGCUAUUUUGUAUAAAAAUACCAGAUUCCACUUUCACAUGAAAAUACCCGACUUAAUGGCGAUUUUUGUAUGCUCAAUUUGAAAACGGACAUACUAAUUUGCAUAUUCUGUGGUUGCAACAAAGGUGACGGCGAGUGCGGCAUAUGAGCGAUGUGUAUACUUUCUAAAAAAAAAAAAACAUCAAUAAAAGAAAUUAAUAACAAAUUAUAGUUGUUAAAAGUUUCAUGUUUACAUACCCAUAUCGCAAAAUUUACCAAUAGUCCAUUUUAGCAGACUUAGCAGAGGAAAUUCUAAAAUUUUACGCCGCAAUACUUCGACAACCAAAUUCACCAUGUAGAUACAAAGGCGCAACUACAAGAAAAUAAUUAAUAAUUUGAAUAAAAAUCUUUUAAAAUUGUUUUACCGUUGUGAAAACCACGUAAUAAACCAAUACCGUUGGAAACAAAAAGAGUAGCGAAGUAAAGAAUAUAGUGGCAAGAUACAACUGUCGGUUAACAUAAUUAUGUGACUCCACGCGAUCUGCAAGUCAUGCUUAUUUAGCUAAAUUAGAUGUGUGAAUUAUUAAACUAUAUUUACUUUUAAGUACAUUGUAACGUUUGCCCAGCAUUACCUUCCAAAGUACUUGAAUACCUCUAAUCUCCACUUUGUACAAUCUAAUUAAACACAAAUUAUUUGUUAUUGAAAUUUCCAUAUACAAUGGGCAACUUACACUGCUGUGUAAAUAUAGAAGCAAUGCGCAUGCAAGCCGAUAAUGGACAUCAACAUCGGCAAAGACGCUAAUUGAAAAGAGAUUCCUAUGAAACCAAGCAUGGCAAUUGGCACAAAGAGUUGACGCACGAUUGGUUCGAUAAGAUCU